Molecule: long non-coding RNA, 1009 nt
Organism: Chiroxiphia lanceolata (lance-tailed manakin)
Lineage: Eukaryota; Metazoa; Chordata; Aves; Passeriformes; Pipridae
Exons: 3
Source: RefSeq, a predicted model, not a curated record
UGACCACCCCAGGGGAUGUUGUCCCACACAGCCAACCUUCACUGCUGCAAGCACCCACAGUGCCCAGCUGCCAAACUAGCCAGGGCCAGGAAAACAGGAGAGAUUGCUUCGAGUCUGCACUGAGAUCCACUCAGCACCAGAGAAGCCUGGCUCAAUCCUCCAGACCUCACAGUCCUGCCUGGAUGGACUUCAGGCUGGAGCCAGACUGGCCAAGGCUCUGCCUACAGAAAAAUAUAAGCAGUGAGGGAUGAUAUGUCACAAUGCAUCCCCCAGUGGUGUCACAAUCUGCUGCUCAGUGACAUCACCUUCCACCAGCAGGUGAUGUCACAAUGGGAUGUCUUUCCCUGCCAGCACUCAGUAUCAGGAGAAAAAGGGAAAGACUGUUUUCUGUUUUCAACUUCUACAUUUCUGUGUUGCUCUCUCCCUUGGCCACCUGUAUCAUGCAUCCAUGGCCUUGCGUCUUAUCCCUGCUCCUGACCCCUUGCCAAGAUUUCCUGUGAGGGGCAGAGUGGUGGGAACAAUCAGCAUGGACUGCCUGCAGCUGGAUGACACCUUCUCCUCUCACUGCCUUUCCUUGGGCUAUGCCAGGAUUUGGAGGACUUGGGUGAUCAGUGGCCAACCCUGGGUUGCAUUGAUGCUCCUCAAAAGCAUAAGCGAUGGAGCCUGGCCCCACACCUGCAAGAAGGAGCUGGAGUUGCCGUCCCUUCAGACUAGGGUAGAAGGGCUGGUGGCACCCUGCUCAUGACUCUCGAGAGCCCAGGAUCCAUCACCACCUGGGCUGGGCUGUCCCACCAUCCCUGCUACAUCUUUAGCUCCAAGGAAGCCGUGAAGGAGCAGAUCCUUGCUUAGCCAUGGAAGGAUGAAAACAUCUACAAAAAACAUUUACAGAAAGAAAAAAAAUCAGUGGUUUUCUGCAAUGGAAGAUUUGGCAGUUCUUGUUUCUUAAGGUUUGUUUUUCUUACAUUUGAAUCGUCAGUAAUUUUGCUCACUUUUUUACUGUGGAGAGUCU